GAUGAACGCUGGCGGCGUGCCUAAUACAUGCAAGUCGAGCGAACGGACGAGAAGCUUGCUUCUCUGAUGUUAGCGGCGGACGGGUGAGUAACACGUGGAUAACCUACCUAUAAGACUGGGAUAACUUCGGGAAACCGGAGCUAAUACCGGAUAAUAUUUUGAACCGCAUGGUUCAAAAGUGAAAGACGGUCUUGCUGUCACCUAUAGAUGGAUCCGCGCUGCAUUAGCUAGUUGGUAAGGUAACGGCUUACCAAGGCAACGAUGCAUAGCCGACCUGAGAGGGUGAUCGGCCACACUGGAACUGAGACACGGUCCAGACUCCUACGGGAGGCAGCAGUAGGGAAUCUUCCGCAAUGGGCGAAAGCCUGACGGAGCCACGCCGCGUGAGUGAUGAAGGUCUUCCGAUCGUAAAACUCUGUUAUUAGGGAAGAACAUAUGUGUAAGUAACUGUGCACAUCUUGACGGUACCUAAUCAGAAAGCCACGGCUAACUACGUGCCAGCAGCCGCGGUAAUACGUAGGUGGCAAGCGUUAUCCGGAAUUAUUGGGCGUAAAGCGCGCGUAGGCGGUUUUUUAAGUCUGAUGUGAAAGCCCACGGCUCUUUCGUGGAGGGUCAUUGGAAACUGGAAAGCUUGAGUGCAGAAGAGGAAAGUGGAAUUCCAUGUGUAGCGGUGAAAUGCGCAGAGAUAUGGAGGAACACCAGUGGCGAAAGCGACUUUCUGGUCUGUAACUGACGCUGAUGUGCGAAAGCGUGGGGAUCAAACAGGAUUAGAUACCCUGGUAGUCCACGCCGUAAACGAUGAGUGCUAAGUGUUAGGGGGUUUCCGCCCCUUAGUGCUGCAGCUAACGCAUUAAGCACUCCGCCUGGGGAGUACGACCGCAAGGUUGAAACUCAAGGGAAUUGACGGGGACCCGCACAAGCGGUGGAGCAUGUGGUUUAAUUCGAAGCAACGCGAAGAACCUUACCAAAUCUUGACAUCCUUUGACAACUCUAGAGAUAGAGCCUUCCCCUUCGGGGGACAAAGUGACAGGUGGUGCAUGGUUGUCGUCAGCUCGUGUCGUGAGAUGUUGGGUUAAGUCCCGCAACGAGCGCAACCCUUAAGCUUAGUUGCCAUCAUUAAGUUGGGCACUCUAAGUUGACUGCCGGUGACAAACCGGAGGAAGGUGGGGAUGACGUCAAAUCAUCAUGCCCCUUAUGAUUUGGGCUACACACGUGCUACAAUGGACAAUACAAAGGGCAGCGAAACCGCGAGGUCAAGCAAAUCCCAUAAAGUUGUUCUCAGUUCGGAUUGUAGUCUGCAACUCGACUACAUGAAGCUGGAAUCGCUAGUAAUCGUAGAUCAGCAUGCUACGGUGAAUACGUUCCCGGGUCU
This 1372-nucleotide ribosomal RNA is filed under the name uncultured bacterium. RNAcentral describes it as "bacterial SSU rRNA". It matches the Rfam family "Bacterial small subunit ribosomal RNA", at positions 28 to 1381 of the family's 1533-position model. The record is from RNAcentral.